UUCAUGGAGAGUUUGAUCCUGGCUCAGGACGAACGCUGGCGGCGUGCCUAAUACAUGCAAGUCGAGCGGACCGACGGGAGCUUGCUCCCUUAGGUCAGCGGCGGACGGGUGAGUAACACGUGGGUAACCUGCCUGUAAGACUGGGAUAA
This 149-nucleotide ribosomal RNA is filed under the name Bacillus swezeyi. RNAcentral's name for it is "partial 16S ribosomal RNA". It matches the Rfam family "Bacterial small subunit ribosomal RNA", at positions 1 to 146 of the family's 1533-position model. Lineage: Bacteria; Bacillati; Bacillota; Bacilli; Caryophanales; Bacillaceae. The record is from RNAcentral.